AUGGCGACCGGCGCACGGGUGAGUAACACGUAUCCAACCUGCCGAUAACUCAGGGAUAGCCUUUCGAAAGAAAGAUUAAUACCCGAUGGCAUAAUUAGACCGCAUGGUCUUAUUAUUAAAGAAUUUCGGUUAUCGAUGGGGAUGCGUUCCAUUAGGCAGUUGGUGAGGUAACGGCUCACCAAACCUUCGAUGGAUAGGGGUUCUGAGAGGAAGGUCCCCCACAUUGGAACUGAGACACGGUCCAA
This 245-nucleotide ribosomal RNA is filed under the name uncultured bacterium. RNAcentral describes it as "partial 16S ribosomal RNA". It matches the Rfam family "Bacterial small subunit ribosomal RNA", at positions 88 to 334 of the family's 1533-position model. The record is from RNAcentral.